AAACCACUUCUGAUCACUUUGUGUAUUCUUUUUUAAUAUUUUGUUGUGUCUUGCUUGGUGGGAAUUGAUCGAGUUAAGUGGCUGACUGGGAAUAUUAUGCUGUCAAGUUCGUGUCUUAGUGCGUCUGAGAAUGUUGUUUCUUUCUUUCUUCCUUUUGUUGCAAACCUGAAAAGAAAGUGCAAUGUGAACCUAGAAGGUGCAUGUACUGCUGUUACUUUCAUGUGCCAACUACUAUACUAGUUGGUUUGUGAUGAUCCAAACAAGUCGACAACAGUAGUACUAUUGGCAGUUGGUGUUUAAUUUCAUUGCUGCCAUGGUAUUUAUUCUUUCGGCAUGUCAUGUAUAUGCUUGGUUCCAUGAUGGGUGCACUUUCUAACACGCGCAGGUGCAAGACAGAGACACGCCACCAUGCAAUCAUUCUUCUUCCACUUGCAGGCCUCCCACUCCAGUAACUCCUUUUCUGCUCCAGCAUAGCAUAGCUGGUAAGCAACCGCUCCUCUCUUUUGCUCUCUCUUGCUCUAUUAUCUUGCUCUGCGUGUGUCCACGACCAUACACCCAUUCUGCUAAGUUAUGUUCUGGCCAUGGUGAUUUCUGCCUAGUGCUAAUGAUGCUUUGGACUUGUAGUUUAGUGAUGCCAAGUGUUGCAUCAAUAAUAUUUGAUCAAAACCACCCAAUUAAGUUGAACAAUCGAAGAGAGCCUGCUGCUAACAGACAUGUUUCCUUUCCUAAUAAAGAUUGGAUUGUUGUCCUGGCUCUGAAACAUGCAACUUUUUUACCUUUCUAUAAGUCUUGAUCAAAUCCAGCUUGUAUCUACUUGUAGAUGUAGACUGUUCUAUAUUUUUUGUCGAUUAAAAACCUGCUUGCAUGUUGUUGGAUAUCAACCAUGGUUGAACCUAAAAAUGGCUGAUUUGAUAUCUUUUCUUUUUUCUGCACUAUACUAGUCGUCGUCGCCGCUGCCAUAGUUCGGUUCGAGUCGUCUCCGGCGCUGCUAAAGAUCACCGUUGACACUAUAAUCCACAGGUAUCUCUCUCAGUUCCCUUUAUACCCUCCUACCUUUGUGAUGUUAGUAUGCUUGUGCUGACUAGUUUUGUUAGAUCUUGCCGGUUGAAUGGAUGGUCGUGUUAGUAGAAUGGUAUUUUUUUAGGUGCAAUGUGUUGCAGUGAAGUUUUUUGCAUGACUUGCACUUGAGCCGUGCAUAUUCAUAUUCUGUAUCUGUUUUCUUGUAUGUAUGGGUAUCUCAUUUUAACUAGUUGGAGGACAAAAAGCAUGGCACUAGCUCAAUUUGUGUUAUCAUUCUAAAUAAAUGUCAUUUUCUUGAAUGGUCUGUUCAUAAUAUAUUUGCCCCAAUUUUUCUUAUUCUUCUCUCAUUCAUGUAACAGGGUGACAGAGGAAGCCAUGUUGCAGUUUUGUUUGUUGCCAGCCCUGACUUCGGUCGUCCAGCGAGUCUGGCAUGUUGUUCAUCUGACUACGGUCAUCCAGCGAGUCUGUCAUGUUGUUCAUCUGACUACGGUCGUCCAACGAGUCUGGCAUGUUGUCAUUUCUUGUAAAGCAGUACUGUAUUACACUUGUAGAACUCAUUACACUUGUAGAGCUUGAAAGUACUGUAUUAGACAUGGUCAUGUAUUGGCACGUAUAGAGCUUGUUAUUGUGAUUGCCAUUGUAUUAUGUGAUCUGGUUGCUCUUAUUUGAAGUAUCAUGUGUGCUUUUUGUCUGGCAAUUUAAAUACUGGUUGAAAUAUGAAGA
RNAcentral lists this long non-coding RNA (1743 nucleotides) under Triticum aestivum (bread wheat). RNAcentral describes it as "long non-coding RNA (TAES_LNC023850)". Lineage: Eukaryota; Viridiplantae; Streptophyta; Magnoliopsida; Poales; Poaceae. The record is from RNAcentral.